Molecule: long non-coding RNA, 357 nt
Organism: Oenanthe melanoleuca
Lineage: Eukaryota; Metazoa; Chordata; Aves; Passeriformes; Muscicapidae
Exons: 3
Source: RefSeq, a predicted model, not a curated record
GAAGGAUUUUCAGAGAAAGCUGCAGAAGCUAUUACACAGAGUGCUACUUCAUGUUUUAGGAGGUUAUAAAAUCUUACAGAAUAGGUAACAAGAUGGAAUAAACAAAUACUUUUAUGCCUGCUGGACCGUGGGGGUGUUUGCCUAAAUUAAACUCUAAACCAGUUCACUGUACCAGGUUACAAACAUGUGGUGAUCUGGACAUAAAAAGGGAGAUUCAGGAGAACCUUGGGGAAUUUUGCAAGUCAAAUUAAUUGGGAAAAAUGGUGAAAUUUGUGGAGCUUGAUAAUGCUGAAGAUUUGUCUGUGCCCACCAUUUGGGGUCCAUAUGAGGAGCCAUGUGAUGGGUGAACCAGAAAUC